This 2358-nucleotide ribosomal RNA is filed under the name Fasciola gigantica. RNAcentral's name for it is "SSU rRNA". It matches the Rfam family "Eukaryotic small subunit ribosomal RNA". The record is from RNAcentral. Lineage: Eukaryota; Metazoa; Platyhelminthes; Trematoda; Plagiorchiida; Fasciolidae.
AUCUGGUUGAUCCUGCCAGUAGUCAUAUUCUUUUCUCAGAGAUUAAGCCAUGCAUGUCUAAGUACAUGUCUUUAAACGGGGAAACCGCAGAUGGCUCAUUAAAUCAGCUAUGGUUCUUUGGAUCGUACAUACUACAUGGAUAUACUGUAGUAACUCCAGGAGCUAUUGCAUCCCACCAUGGCCUGACCGCGAGGGAACGGUGGAUUUAUAGAACAGUAACAACCGAGGGCAGCUUCGGUCGUCCCUGUUGCAUUCUGUGAUUGACUCUGAUAACUUCACUGAUCUCAUCGCGCCUUGUUUCGGCGGCGGAUCCUUCAAUGAUCUGGCCCUAUCAAUUUUUGAUGGUAGGUGACCUGCCUACCAUGGUGCUAACGGGUAACGGGGAAUCAGGUUUCGAUUCCGGAGAGAGAGCCUGAAAAACGGCUGCCAUUUCCAAAAGGGGCAGUCAGGCAGCAAAUUACCCGGUCACGGCACGGGGAGGGGGGUAUCCGCACGUAAAAAUACAAACACGGGACUACUAGAUCUUUGUAAUUUGGAAUGGGUACAAUGUUAAAUCCUUUUAACAAUGAUCAGGACGGGGGGCAAGUCUGGUGCCAGAAGCCGCGCAACUCCAACUCCAGAAAGUAUAUUAAAGUUUUUUGCAGUAAAAAUGCUUGAGUUGGGAUCUGGGUNNNNNNNNNNNNNNNNNNNNNNNNNGCUUUCCAGGGAGAGAGCCUCUGAUAAAACGGCUGCCAUUUCAAAAGGGGCUGCAGGAAGCAAUUUACCCGUUCACGGCACGGGAGGGGGGUAUGUGACGAAAAAUACAAACACGGGACUCUACGAUACUUUGUAAUUUGAAUGGGUACAAUGUUAAAUCCUUUUAACAAUGAUCAACUGGGGGGCAAGUCUCUGUGCCAGCAGUCCGGGCAACUCCAAUCCAGAAGAGUAUAUUAAAGUUUUUUGCAGUUAAAUGCUUGUAGUUGGGAUCUGGGUCGCAUUGGGCCUACCUUGGCGCUGUGCUCGUGGUUCUCGGUGUGAUUAUCUGCUCGAUUGAGCUUACGAGCUGGUUCUCGUGGCUGUGCUUUUUUUUCUUCUAUGUUCCGUUUACAGGUGUCAGCGUUGACUUGGUGGGUCUCGCCUUGCUAGCCUCUUUGGCAUACUUCUUGGUUGCCCUUAAUCGGGUGUUGGUGGCGGACGUCACGUUUAUCUUUGAACAUAAUUUCUUUGGGGAUGCUCAAAGCAGGCCAUCGUGCCUAGAAGUUCUUGCACGGAAUAUGGAAAUUAGGAAUUUUGGCGUCUAUUUGAUGUUUUUGGAUCCGAAUCAGUGGUUAAGAGGGACAGAGAGGGGCAUUUGUGUGGUGGUGUUAGAGUUGAAAAUCUUGGAUCACCGCCAGACACCCACAGCGGAAAGCAUUUUGCCAAGGUGUUUUCGUUGAUCUUUGAGCGAAAGUCAGGCGUUCGAAGACGAUCAGAUUACCGUCCUAGUUCUGACCACAAACGUAUAACUGUACGAUCCGUGUGUUGUUCUUCAUGUGUUCUCCCACGGGCACUCCCCGGAUAUAAGUCCUUUCAAGCCAUUUUAGGGGAACGUAUAUGGUUGCAAUAGCUGAAUAUUUUUAAGGGAAUUGAUCAGACAAGUGGGCCAUUGCUAGGUAGUGGAGCCUGUGGCUUAAUUUCACUUCCACGCAGGUAAUUAUCCCAUCCCGGCCCGACCACUGCGAGGGACUGCAAGAAUUGAUAUCUCUUUCUUUGGAUUCGACGGUUUUGGUGGUUGCAUGCUCCUUCCGUUAUUUUAUUGGUAGUUGGCGGACCAAUUUGUCUGGUUAAUUCCAAUAACAACUGGACUCCGCGCUGCUACUAGUUUUUUAUGGCUCCUGUUUCCCUGUGUUCCCUGUGCUCGUGCACAGUGCGUUGUCCAUUGCCUCCUCGUGGGGUAGUGGUUACGUGGACCGGCAGGUGAGGCGCAGGUACUUACUUCUUAGAGGGACAAGCAGUUGCGGUUUUUUGAUGCCCUUAGGUUUCCGGGGAGGCUUGUGUGCUACAGUGACGGUUUCAGCGAGUUUGAAAUCCCGGCCUGAGCAGGUUGGGUAAACUGUAUCAUGACCCCCGUGACUGGGGUCGGGGCUUGCAAUUGUUCCCCGUGAACGAGGAAUUCCUGGUGAGUGCAAGUCAUAGGCUUGUGCUGAUCACUUCCCUGCCCUUUGUACACACCGCCCCUCUCUACUAUCGAUUGAGUGGUUUAGCAAGGUCCUAGGAAUAAUGCCACUGUAGUGGCUUCCACCGCUCGACCGGUGCUGAGAAGACGACCAAACUUGAUCAUUUGGAGGAAGUAAAAUUCGUAACAAGGUUCUCGUAGGCGGACCUGCGGAGGGUUCGUUA